Molecule: long non-coding RNA, 631 nt
Organism: Phyllopteryx taeniolatus (common seadragon)
Lineage: Eukaryota; Metazoa; Chordata; Actinopteri; Syngnathiformes; Syngnathidae
Exons: 4
Source: RefSeq, a predicted model, not a curated record
AAAUCAUAAAUCUUUGUCCCAGAGUUUCUGAGGCUCAGUUAGACUUCCUGGCCUAUCUAUUCUUUGUGCUAAUGGGUGGUUUGCCUCUUCUAGUGUAGCAUCUGUACUUUUAUUCAUGUUCAUUGUGUUCAUUCCUUUCUUUACAGCUAUCAAAAGGUUUCUGUCAACAAAUGCUGCUGUUUCUCCUGGACUACCCGUUUGAUGCCUGUUACUUAAUACACAAAAGCUUCCGCCUCCGCUGCUUAUUCACAAAGCAGGCUGCCAUUGUACUGAAAAGUAUGGCUGCAGCCAAGAAGCAGAUGGUGGCCACGAUGCCAGCCACAACUGGCCUUGCCAACCCUGAUUCCUCAACCAUCUCAGGAGGUGGAAAGAAGUCUGCAGACAUUUCCUGCUGACACGCUGCUUACACAGAGGAAAAGCGGACGUUGCUGAGGACAGGGGAAGGGUGUGUAAAGUAGGACGCUAGAGCCACACCCCCAACAACCAUUCCCAUAAAGAUAAGUUUGAGUGCAGCUGGACGAAGCUAAUUUGUGAGGAUGAGAGGGGUGCAUUUCUUUUUUUUUUUUUUCUUCCUGUCUCUCUCACUUCUGUAUCACAAAGGUGAAUUUUUGCUUGGGCUUCAGUUAGGGGU